GGAAUCUUGCGCAAUGGGCGAAAGCCUGACGCAGCAACGCCGCGUGCGGGAAGAAGGCUUUCGGGCUGUAAACCGCUUUCAGUAGGAACGAAACUGACGGUACCUACAGAAGAAGGAGCGGCCAACUAUGUGCCAGCAGCCGCGGUGACACAUAGGCUCCAAGCGUUGUCCGGAUUUAUUGGGCGUAAAGAGCUCGUAGGCGGUUGAGUAAGUCGGGUGUGAAAACUUUGGGCUUAACCCAAAGAUGCCACUCGAUACUGUUCAACUUGAGUUUGGUAGGGGAGUGGGGAAUUCCUUGUGUAGCGGUGAAAUGCGCAGAUAUAAGGAGGAACACCGGUGGCGAAGGCGCCACUCUGGGCCAAUACUGACGCUGAGGAGCGAAAGCGUGGGGAGCAAACAGGAUUAGAUACCCUGGUAGUCCACGCGGUAAACGGUGGUCACUAGGUGUGGGUCUCUUCAAACGAGAUCUGCGCCGUCGCUAACGCAUUAAGUGACCCGCCUGGGGAGUACGGUCGCAAGACUAAAACUCAAAUGAAUUGACGG
Molecule: ribosomal RNA, 543 nt
Filed under: uncultured bacterium
Lineage: Bacteria
Description: bacterial SSU rRNA
Rfam family: Bacterial small subunit ribosomal RNA
Source: RNAcentral